RNAcentral lists this ribosomal RNA (449 nucleotides) under uncultured prokaryote. RNAcentral's name for it is "bacterial SSU rRNA". It matches the Rfam family "Bacterial small subunit ribosomal RNA", at positions 355 to 796 of the family's 1533-position model. The record is from RNAcentral.
UGGGGAAUAUUGGACAAUGGGCGAAAGCCUGAUCCAGCAAUGCCGCGUGUGUGAAGAAGGCCUGAGGGUUGUAAAGCACUUUCAAUAGGGACGAAAAGCUCAGGGUUAAUACCCCUGAGUCUUGACAUUAUCUAUACAAGAAGCACCGGCUAACUCCGUGCCAGCAGCCGCGGUAAUACGGAGGGUGCAAGCGUUAAUCGGAAUUACUGGGCGUAAAGCGCUCGCAGGCGGUUUGUUAAGUCGGAUGUGAAAGCCCCGGGCUCAACCUGGGAAUUGCAUUCGAUACUGGCAAACUAGAGUAUGGUAGAGGCAAGUGGAAUUCCGGGUGUAGCGGUGAAAUGCGUAGAUAUCCGGAGGAACAUCAGUGGCGAAGGCGACUUGCUGGACCAAUACUGACGCUCAGGAGCGAAAGCGUGGGGAGCAAACGGGAUUAGAUACCCGCGUAGUCC